CAGCAGCCGCGGUAAUACAGAGGGUGCGAGCGUUAAUCGGAUUUACUGGGCGUAAAGCGUGCGUAGGCGGCUAAUUGAGUCGGAUGUGAAAUCCCCGAGCUUAACUUGGGAAUUGCAUUCGAUACUGGUUAGCUAGAGUAUGGGAGAGGAUGGUAGAAUUCCAGGUGUAGCGGUGAAAUGCGUAGAGAUCUGGAGGAAUACCGAUGGCGAAGGCAGCCAUCUGGCCUAAUACUGACGCUGAGGUACGAAAGCAUGGGGAGCAAACAGGAUUAGAUACCCGUGUAGUCCCUGUCUCUUAUAA
RNAcentral lists this ribosomal RNA (301 nucleotides) under uncultured bacterium. Its description in RNAcentral is "partial 16S ribosomal RNA". It matches the Rfam family "Bacterial small subunit ribosomal RNA", at positions 509 to 809 of the family's 1533-position model. The record is from RNAcentral.